GAUGAACGCUGGCGGCGUGCUUAACACAUGCAAGUCGAACGAGAAAUGUAGACGGAAACCUUCGGGCGGAAGCCUUCAUUUCGAGUGGCGGACGGGUGAGUAACGCGUGGGUAACCUGCCUCAUACAGGGGGAUAACAGUUGGAAACGACUGUUAAUACCGCAUAAGACCACCGCAUCGCAUGAUGCGGGGGUAAAAACUCCGGUGGUAUGAGAUGGACCCGCGUUCGAUUAGCCAGUUGGCGGGGUAACGGCCCACCAAAGCGACGAUCGAUAGCCGAUCUGAGAGGAUGACCGGCCACAUUGGGACUGAGACACGGCCCAAACUCCUACGGGAGGCAGCAGUGGGGAAUAUUGCACAAUGGGGGAAACCCUGAUGCAGCGACGCCGCGUGAGUGAAGAAGUACUUCGGUAUGUAAAGCUCUAUCAGCAGGGAAGAAAAUGACGGUACCUGAGGAAGAAGCCCCGGCUAACUACGUG
RNAcentral lists this ribosomal RNA (478 nucleotides) under uncultured bacterium. Its description in RNAcentral is "partial 16S ribosomal RNA". It matches the Rfam family "Bacterial small subunit ribosomal RNA", at positions 28 to 507 of the family's 1533-position model. The record is from RNAcentral.